GAUGAACGCUGGCGGCGUGCCUAAUACAUGCAAGUCGAGCGAACGGACGAGAAGCUUGCUUCUCUGAUGUUAGCGGCGGACGGGUGAGUAACACGUGGAUAACCUACCUAUAAGACUGGGAUAACUUCGGGAAACCGGAGCUAAUACCGGAUAAUAUUUUGAACCGCAUGGUUCAAAAGUGAAAGACGGUCUUGCUGUCACUUAUAGAUGGAUCCGCGCUGCAUUAGCUAGUUGGUAAGGUAACGGCUUACCAAGGCAACGAUGCAUAGCCGACCUGAGAGGGUGGAUCGCCCCCCUGGGACCGGGAACCCGUCCCGAACCCUAACGGGAGCAGCCGUAAGGGAUCCUCCGGAAAGGGGCAAAGGCCUGAGGGGCAAACGCCGCGUGAGUGAUGAAGGUCUUCGGAUCGUAAAACUCUGUUAUUAGGGAAGAACAUAUGUGUAAGUAACUGUGCACAUCUUGACGGUACCUAAUCAGAAAGCCACGGCUAACUACGUG
Molecule: ribosomal RNA, 498 nt
Filed under: uncultured bacterium
Lineage: Bacteria
Description: partial 16S ribosomal RNA
Rfam family: Bacterial small subunit ribosomal RNA
Source: RNAcentral